RNAcentral lists this small nucleolar RNA (106 nucleotides) under Eutrema salsugineum. Its description in RNAcentral is "Plant small nucleolar RNA R71". It matches the Rfam family "Plant small nucleolar RNA R71". Rfam says of the family: R71 is a member of the C/D box family of snoRNAs containing the C (UGAUGA) and D (CUGA) box motifs. Multiple nearly identical copies of this snoRNA have been identified in Arabidopsis, and it is thought to function as a 2'-O-ribose methylation guide for 18S ribosomal RNA. Lineage: Eukaryota; Viridiplantae; Streptophyta; Magnoliopsida; Brassicales; Brassicaceae. The record is from Rfam by way of RNAcentral.
AAACCAUGAUGGGGGCAGUCUCUCUCAUACUCCUUGAAUCACUCCCAGGCUUCAUAGAAUGAUUCUGUUGGCCCUUGUUGGAAGCUUUGUAUUUUGUUUCUCAGCU